CUACGGGUGGCAGCAGUGGGGAAUAUUGGGCAAUGGGCGCAAGCCUGACCCAGCAACGCCGCGUGAGGGAAGAAUGUCUUCGGAUUGUAAACCUCUGUCCUUGAGGACGAAAAAAAUGACGGUACCCAAGGAGGAAGCUCCGGCUAACUACGUGCCAGCAGCCGCGGUAAUACGUAGGGAGCAAGCGUUGUCCGGAAUUAUUGGGCGUAAAGGGUGCGUAGGCGGCGCUGUAAGUCAGAUGUGAAAUCCCCGGGCUUAACUCGGGAGUUGCAUUUGAAACUACAGUGCUUGAGUAAAGAAGGGGUAAGUGGAAUUCCUAGUGUAGCGGUGGUAUGCGUAGAUAUUAGGAGGAACACCAGUGGCGAAGGCGACUUACUGGUCUUUUACUGACGCUGAGGCACGAAAGCGUGGGGAGCAAACAGGAUUAGAUACCCGCGUAGUC
RNAcentral lists this ribosomal RNA (442 nucleotides) under uncultured bacterium. Its description in RNAcentral is "partial 16S ribosomal RNA". It matches the Rfam family "Bacterial small subunit ribosomal RNA", at positions 339 to 795 of the family's 1533-position model. The record is from RNAcentral.